This 143-nucleotide non-coding RNA is filed under the name metagenome. The record is from RNAcentral.
UACAGUGAUCGCGCAACUGGUUCGGCUCCGAGGCCAUCGGAGUCGUCGCAAGAGGGAACCCGGUGAGACUCCGGGACUGCCCCGCAACGGUGAGUGGGAACCAACCACCAGUCCGAUGACCUGCCAGCGCGCCGGGCCACGUG